This 204-nucleotide unclassified non-coding RNA is filed under the name Hevea brasiliensis (rubber tree). Lineage: Eukaryota; Viridiplantae; Streptophyta; Magnoliopsida; Malpighiales; Euphorbiaceae. The record is from RNAcentral.
GGGGGAUUGUCAGUGGCAUUCAUCUUUGUGACUAACUGGGAUUGUGAGAAUGUCAUGCCAAUCUUCAGCAGAGUUCAGAAGCUGAAAGGACAGUUUGCUAACCUUUAUGUUGUUGUAUGCCUUCCAACCAAGGAGCAGAAUGAUUCUUUUGUUCGCUCUUACUUCAAGUAUGGAAUGGAGCUUGGCAAGCCAACGUUUGUGCCA